RNAcentral lists this ribosomal RNA (534 nucleotides) under uncultured soil bacterium. RNAcentral describes it as "bacterial SSU rRNA". It matches the Rfam family "Bacterial small subunit ribosomal RNA", at positions 8 to 524 of the family's 1533-position model. The record is from RNAcentral.
AGAGUUUGAUCCUGGCUCAGAAUCAACGCUGGCGGCGUGCCUAACACAUGCAAGUCGAACGCGGUUAUCCAGCAAUGGAUAACUGAGUGGCGAACGGGUGAGUAACACGUGGGUGACCUACCUUCGAGUGGGGGAUAACGUCCCGAAAGGGACGCUAAUACCGCAUAACAUCCUGCCUUUGAACAGGCGGUGAUCAAAGCCGGGGACCGUAAGGCCCGGCGCUUGAUGAGGGGCUCGCGUCUGAUUAGCUAGUUGGUGAGGUAACGGCCCACCAAGGCGACGAUCAGUAUCCGGUCUGAGAGGGCGGACGGACACACUGGGACUGAGACACGGCCCAGACUCCUACGGGAGGCAGCAGUGGGGAAUUGUUCACAAUGGGCGCAAGCCUGAUGACGCAACGCCGCGUGGAGGAUGGAGGUCUUCGGAUUGUAAACUCCUGUUGCCCGGGACGAAAAGCUCUGACCUAACACGUCGGAGUCUGACGGUACCGGGUGAGGAAGCCCCGGCUAACUCUGUGCCAGCAGCCGCGGUAAU